CAAAUCUUGACAUCCUUUGACCGCUCUAGAGAUAGAGUCUUCCCCUUCGGGGGACAAAGUGACAGGUGGUGCAUGGUUGUCGUCAGCUCGUGUCGUGAGAUGUUGGGUUAAGUCCCGCAACGAGCGCAACCCUUAAGCUUAGUUGCCAUCAUUAAGUUGGGCACUCUAAGUUGACUGCCGGUGACAAACCGGAGGAAGGUGGGGAUGACGUCAAAUCAUCAUGCCCCUUAUGAUUUGGGCUACACACGUGCUACAAUGGACAAUACAAAGGGCAGCUAAACCGCGAGGUCAAGCAAAUCCCAUAAAGUUGUUCUCAGUUCGGAUUGUAGUCUGCAACUCGACUACAUGAAGCUGGAAUCGCUAGUAAUCGUAGAUCAGCAUGCUACGGUGAAUACGUUCCC
This 401-nucleotide ribosomal RNA is filed under the name Staphylococcus warneri. RNAcentral's name for it is "bacterial SSU rRNA". It matches the Rfam family "Bacterial small subunit ribosomal RNA", at positions 975 to 1375 of the family's 1533-position model. The record is from RNAcentral. RNAcentral also lists the same sequence under 1 other name. Lineage: Bacteria; Bacillati; Bacillota; Bacilli; Caryophanales; Staphylococcaceae.